UACGAAGGGGGCUAGCGUUGCUCGGAAUGACUGGGCGUAAAGGGCGCGUAGGCGGAUUGGACAGUCAGGCGUGAAAUUCCUGGGCUCAACCUGGGGGCUGCGCUUGAGACGUCUGGUCUGGAGUGGGGAAGAGGGUCGUGGAAUUCCCAGUGUAGAGGUGAAAUUCGUAGAUAUUGGGAAGAACACCGGUGGCGAAGGCGGCGACCUGGUCCUUGACUGACGCUGAGGCGCGAAAGCGUGGGGAGCAAACAGG
RNAcentral lists this ribosomal RNA (253 nucleotides) under uncultured prokaryote. Its description in RNAcentral is "partial 16S ribosomal RNA". It matches the Rfam family "Bacterial small subunit ribosomal RNA", at positions 524 to 776 of the family's 1533-position model. The record is from RNAcentral.